Molecule: ribosomal RNA, 253 nt
Filed under: uncultured bacterium
Lineage: Bacteria
Description: partial 16S ribosomal RNA
Rfam family: Archaeal small subunit ribosomal RNA
Source: RNAcentral
UACCAGCACCCCGAGUGGUCGGGACGUUUAUUGGGCCUAAAGCAUCCGUAGCCGGUUCUACAAGUCUUCCGUUAAAUCCACCUGCUUAACAGAUGGGCUGCGGAAGAUACUAUAGAGCUAGGAGGCAGGAGAGGCAAGCGGUACUCGAUGGGUAGGGGUAAAAUCCGUUGAUCCAUUGAAGACCACCAGUGGCGAAGGCGGCUUGCCAGAACGCGCUCGACGGUGAGGGAUGAAAGCUGGGGGAGCAAACCGG